Molecule: ribosomal RNA, 253 nt
Filed under: uncultured bacterium
Lineage: Bacteria
Description: partial 16S ribosomal RNA
Rfam family: Bacterial small subunit ribosomal RNA
Source: RNAcentral
UACGGGGGGGGCAAGCGUUGUUCGGAAUUACUGGGCGUAAAGGGCUCGUAGGCGGCCAACUAAGUCAGACGUGAAAUCCCUCGGCUUAACCGGGGAACUGCGUCUGAUACUGGAUGGCUUGAGGUUGGGAGAGGGAUGCGGAAUUCCAGGUGUAGCGGUGAAAUGCGUAGAUAUCUGGAGGAACACCGAUGGCGAAGGCAGCUCGCUGGGACGGUACUGACGCUGAGGCGCGAAAGCGUGGGGAGCAAACAGG